AGAGUUUGAUCAUGGCUCAGGAUGAAUGCUGGCGGCGUGUCUAAGGCAUGCAAGUCGAACGGAUCGUUUUUUGUAGCAAUACUUGAAACGGUUAGUGGCAAACGGGUGCGUAACACACUGGUACCUGCCUCGUAGUCGGGCAUAAGCCUUCGAAAGGAGGUCUAAUUCCACGAUGGUCUCGCAAGAGUAAAGUCGUAAGACGCUACGAGAGGGGCCUAUGGCCUAUCAGCUUGUUGGCGGGGUAAAAGCCCACCAAGGCGAUGACGGGUAUGGGGUGUGAGAGCACGACCCCACUCACUGGGACUGAGACACUGCCCAGACACCUACGGGUGGCUGCAGUCGAGAAUAUUCCCCAAUGGCCGAAAGGCUGAGGGAGCGACGCCGCGUGCGGGAAGAAGGCCUUCGGGUCGUAAACCGCUUUUACCAAGGACGAAUACUGACGGUACUUGGAGAAUAAGAGGUUGCUAACUCUGUGCCAGCAGCAGCGGUAAUACAGAGACCUCGAGCAUUAUCCGGAUUUAUUGGGCGUAAAGGGUCCGCAGGUGGCCGUUCACGUCGAUGGUUAAAUUUCAGGGCUCAACCCUGAAACCGCCACCGAUACGGUUCGGCUCGAGCAUGGGAGAGGUACGCGGAAUUACCGGUGUAGUAGUAAAAUGCGUUAAUAUCGGUAAGAACACCAAAUGCGAAGGCAGCGUACUGGAACAUUGCUGACACUCAGGGACGAAAGCGUGGGGAGCGAACGGGAUUAGAUACCCUAGUAGUCC
This 764-nucleotide ribosomal RNA is filed under the name uncultured bacterium. Its description in RNAcentral is "bacterial SSU rRNA". It matches the Rfam family "Bacterial small subunit ribosomal RNA", at positions 8 to 796 of the family's 1533-position model. The record is from RNAcentral.